This 71-nucleotide transfer RNA is filed under the name Ictidomys tridecemlineatus (thirteen-lined ground squirrel). RNAcentral's name for it is "Spermophilus tridecemlineatus (thirteen-lined ground squirrel) tRNA". It matches the Rfam family "tRNA". Rfam says of the family: Transfer RNA (tRNA) molecules are approximately 80 nucleotides in length. Their secondary structure includes four short double-helical elements and three loops (D, anti-codon, and T loops). The record is from Rfam by way of RNAcentral. Lineage: Eukaryota; Metazoa; Chordata; Mammalia; Rodentia; Sciuridae.
GGGAAUAUAGCUCAGUGGUAGAGCAUUUGAAUAAUAUGUACAAAGUCCUGGGUUCAAUCCCAAUACUUCUU